This 449-nucleotide ribosomal RNA is filed under the name uncultured bacterium. RNAcentral's name for it is "bacterial SSU rRNA". It matches the Rfam family "Bacterial small subunit ribosomal RNA", at positions 28 to 478 of the family's 1533-position model. The record is from RNAcentral.
GAUGAACGCUGGCGGCGUGCUUAACACAUGCAAGUCGAACGGGAAAUACUUUAUUGAAACUUCGGCGGAUUUAAUUUAUUUCUAGUGGCGGACGGGUGAGUAACGCGUGGGUAACCUGCCUUAUACUGGGGGAUAACAGCCAGAAAUGGCUGCUAAUACCGCAUAAGCGCACAGAACCGCAUGGUUCGGUGUGAAAAACUCCGGUGGUAUAAGAUGGACCCGCGUUGGAUUAGCUAGUUGGCAGGGCAGCGGCCUACCAAGGCGACGAUCCAUAGCCGGCCUGAGAGGGUGAACGGCCACAUUGGGACUGAGACACGGCCCAGACUCCUACGGGAGGCAGCAGUGGGGAAUAUUGCACAAUGGGGGAAACCCUGAUGCAGCGACGCCGCGUGAAGGAAGAAGUAUCUCGGUAUGUAAACUUCUAUCAGCAGGGAAGAUAAUGACGGUAC